UACGGGAGGCAGCAGUGGGGAAUAUUGCACAAUGGGCGCAAGCCUGAUGCAGCCAUGCCGCGUGUAUGAAGAAGGCCUUCGGGUUGUAAAGUACUUUCAGCGGGGAGGAAGGCGAUGUGGUUAAUAACCGCGUCGAUUGACGUUACCCGCAGAAGAAGCACCGGCUAACUCCGUGCCAGCAGCCGCGGUAAUACGGAGGGUGCAAGCGUUAAUCGGAAUUACUGGGCGUAAAGCGCACGCAGGCGGUCUGUUAAGUCAGAUGUGAAAUCCCCGGGCUUAACCUGGGAACUGCAUUUUGAAACUGGCAGGCUUGAGUCUCGUAGAGGGGGUAGAAUUCCAGGUGUAGCGGUGAAAUGCGUAGAGAUCUGGAGGAAUACCGGUGGCGAAGGCGGCCCCUGGGACGAAGCUGACGCUCAGGUGCGAAAGCGUGGGGAGCGAAACAGGGAUUAGAUACC
This 455-nucleotide ribosomal RNA is filed under the name uncultured bacterium. Its description in RNAcentral is "bacterial SSU rRNA". It matches the Rfam family "Bacterial small subunit ribosomal RNA", at positions 340 to 786 of the family's 1533-position model. The record is from RNAcentral.